Molecule: ribosomal RNA, 370 nt
Filed under: Acanthamoeba sp.
Lineage: Eukaryota; Discosea; Longamoebia; Acanthamoebidae
Description: SSU rRNA
Rfam family: Eukaryotic small subunit ribosomal RNA
Source: RNAcentral
UUAGAGUGUUCAAAGCAGGCAGAUCCAAUUUUCUGCCACCGAAUACAUUAGCAUGGGAUAAUGGAAUAGGACCCUGUCCUCCUAUUUUCAGUUGGUUUUGGCAGCGCGAGGACUAGGGUAAUGAUUAAUAGGGAUAGUUGGGGGCAUUAAUAUUUAAUUGUCAGAGGUGAAAUUCUUGGAUUUAUGAAAGAUUAACUUCUGCGAAAGCAUCUGCCAAGGAUGUUUUCAUUAAUCAAGAACGAAAGUUAGGGGAUCGAAGACGAUCAGAUACCGUCGUAGUCUUAACCAUAAACGAUGCCGACCAGCGAUUAGGAGACGUUGAAUACAAAACACCACCAUCGGUUGCGGUCGUCCUUGGCGUCUCGGUUUC